GACGUAGGGUGCGAGCGUUGUCCGGAUUUAUUGGGCGUAAAGAGCUCGUAGGCGGCUCGUCGCGUCAGCUGUGAAAACCCGCGGCUUAACCGUGGGCUUGCAGCUGAUACGGGCGGGCUAGAGUGCGGAAGGGGCAACUGGAAUUCUCGGUGUAGCGGUGAAAUGCGUAGAUAUCGAGAGGAACACCUGCGGCGAAGGCGGGUUGCUGGGCCGACACUGACGCUGAUGCGCGAAAGCCAGGGGAGCGAACGGG
RNAcentral lists this ribosomal RNA (253 nucleotides) under uncultured bacterium. RNAcentral describes it as "partial 16S ribosomal RNA". It matches the Rfam family "Bacterial small subunit ribosomal RNA", at positions 524 to 776 of the family's 1533-position model. The record is from RNAcentral.